Molecule: ribosomal RNA, 422 nt
Filed under: uncultured bacterium
Lineage: Bacteria
Description: bacterial SSU rRNA
Rfam family: Bacterial small subunit ribosomal RNA
Source: RNAcentral
AUUGAACGCUGGCGGAAUGCUUUACACAUGCAAGUCGAGCGGCAGCGCGGGGCAACCUGGCGGCGAGCGGCGAACGGGUGAGUAAUACAUCGGAACGUACCCAGUUGUGGGGGAUAGCCCGGCGAAAGCCGGAUUAAUACCGCAUACGACCUGAGGGUGAAAGGGGGGGAUCGCAAGACCUCUCGCAGUUGGAGCGGCCGAUGGCGGAUUAGCUAGUUGGUAGGGUAAAGGCCUACCAAGGCGACGAUCCGUAGCUGGUCUGAGAGGACGACCAGCCACACUGGAACUGAGACACGGUCCAGACUCCUACGGGAGGCAGCAGUGGGGAAUUUUGGACAAUGGGCGCAAGCCUGAUCCAGCAAUGCCGCGUGAGUGAAGAAGGCCUUCGGGUUGUAAAGACUCUUUCAGUUGAGAAGAAAAGA